AUGAAAUCCUGGUGGCUGCUCCUCUCCCUGCUGGCUACUCCCCGCUGGGUCCUGUCCCAGGUGCAGCUGGUGGAGUCCGGCCCAGGAGUGGUGAAGCCCUCAGAGCCCCUCAGACUCUCUUGUGCAGUCUCCGGUUUCUCCAUCACAACGAGUGCUUACUGCUGGCAUUGGAACCGGCAAGCUCCAGAGAAGGGGCUGGAAUGGGUAGGAGCUAUAUGUUAUGAAGGCAAUGUAUACUACGCUUCUUCUCUCAAGAGUCGUGCGACAAACUCCAGAGAUGUGGCCAAGAACGAGUUCUCCCUGCAACUGAAUAGCGUGACAGUCGCAGACACGGCCCUGUAUUUCUGUGCGAGAGAGACCCACACAGUGCAGUGCAGUGAGUGUAAGCCCAGUCAAAAACCUUCCCUGGCAGUCGAUCAGGAGGAGGUUGAGCAAGAGGGGGAGCUCAGGACCCACUAA
This is a non-coding RNA of Tachyglossus aculeatus (Australian echidna), 459 nucleotides long. The record is from the annotation of a RefSeq genome assembly. Lineage: Eukaryota; Metazoa; Chordata; Mammalia; Monotremata; Tachyglossidae.